CCGGCAAGCACGGGAAAUCGCCCCUAUAAAAUGGGGCGGCUGCAAAAACGCAGGAACAUUUUGCCAUCCUGGACCGCACAGGGGUCCGAUCCAGGGAGUAGCAACGGCCCGUCUUAGGGACUCUCUUGUCACCGGGGCGGAGCGUGAGCGCACUCGUUGGCACCCGAAAGACAGCGAACUACCCCGGGCAGGACGAGGCCAGAGGAAACUCUGGUGGAGGUCCGAAGCGAUUCUGACGUGCAAAUCGAUCGUUCGACCCUUGUAUAGGGGCGAAAGACCAAUCGAACCAUCUAGUAUCUGG
This 301-nucleotide ribosomal RNA is filed under the name Haemaphysalis longicornis (longhorned tick). RNAcentral's name for it is "Eukaryotic large subunit ribosomal RNA". It matches the Rfam family "Eukaryotic large subunit ribosomal RNA", at positions 675 to 954 of the family's 3401-position model. The record is from Rfam by way of RNAcentral. Lineage: Eukaryota; Metazoa; Arthropoda; Arachnida; Ixodida; Ixodidae.